Molecule: long non-coding RNA, 2059 nt
Organism: Diceros bicornis minor
Lineage: Eukaryota; Metazoa; Chordata; Mammalia; Perissodactyla; Rhinocerotidae
Exons: 5
Source: RefSeq, a predicted model, not a curated record
UGCAGGGUUUGCUUAAGCUGUAACAUACUGCCCUGAGGAGGAGCAAAGACACCUCGAUACCGCUGCGUCCACUAGAACAACCUGGAGAAUAGCCUGGAAUUCCUCAUAGCAUGGAGACUGGGUUCCAGGAAGACAAUCCCAGUGUACAAAUGCUUAUCAACCCUCGGCUCGCAUCAUGGCUGCUGACGCGGGGCCAAAGCCAGUCUCAUGUCCGAGCUCAAAAUUAAUAUGGGAGAGAACUCCACAGGCCCCAGUACCGGGAGUGGACUCCUUGUGAACCACCGGUGUAAAGUCUAACACAGAAAAGACUUGAGAAAGUUCUUUGCACCAAACAGGCUGGUAGCUCAUGAUCACGUCUUGUGUCCUGAGGUGUGCAUCUGCUUCACAGAAUCUAUGAAUCCACUCAAGUUAUAUGCAAAGGCUGCGUGAAUAGACAUUUUUUUCGGAUGCAGCUUACAAAGAGAAGUCUGUGGUUCUUCCUUCCAUAUCCCAUCCCUCCGGCUGUAUGCAUAAGGAGGCAAUACCAGGUCAACAGCCAGGAAAGAAAAUGGAAAAACGAGCAAGGAAAUGGACUGCCACCGAGAACUUUCAGAAAGGAACUUAGCUUUAUCAACACCUUGAUUUCAGCCUUGUGAGAUUCUAAGCUGAGUCGACUGGACUUCUGAUCUAUGGAAACUGUGAAAUAAAAAUUUGCGUUGUUGAAAGUGGCUACAUUUGUGGUAAUUUGUUAUGAUAGUAACAGAAAAUUAAUAUAGAUAGUUUCUAGUUUGGGACAAUUAUGAAAAAAACUGUUAUAAAACUUAAAUAUAGAUUUUUUUAAACACAAAUUUUCAUUUAUUUUGGGUAAAUAUCUCGGGGUGUCACAAUCAAUUCUUGUUAUUUGUGGUAGUUAUGUUCUAUAAAGUCACCUUGAACACUGAGUUAGCGAGUAAUGAGACAUUGUUCCUAGGAGAAAUGCAGGGUUAAGUUUCUGUGAGCCUCUAGCCGCAAUGUUUUUGUCAACUGAUCAAUACGUAACUUUGUUUUACAUGUGUUUUCUGUUUAAUGACACCGUAUUUAAUACACAUUGUUGCUUCAUUAACACUGAACUCAUGGCUAACAGCACUGUAACUUGUGGCUCAACAAAACUCAUCUAACACACAUUUUUUCCAUAAGGCACUUUACAGCCUUCUUGAGUUUAAAAACACUAGACAGCACUUCAGCACUACACACCUAGGGGCCAUUUUAAACAGCAAAGUCACCAACAAAAAGAACAAAAAUGCAAAAAAAAAAAAACCAUAGAAAACUAAAUAGACUGAGAAAAGGACACAUUUACAAUAUGAGAGUUAAAACAAGAAGCCAGAGCAUUGCCUUGUUCAAUCUCACCUGGGAAUGUGCAUGUUGAGUGACUCAAAUUUUUUACUGCUCUGUACACGCCAAGGAAUGACCACAAAAGCCUCAUAAGUAUCGAUUUGGGAGUUACAAAUGAAUUUCAGCAAGUGGGCAAAUUCACAAAUGUGGAAUCUGUGAAUAAGGAGAAUUGAUUGUAUUAUUGUACCAUACGGUGAGUGUAUGUUUAACUUUAUAAGAAAAUGCCAAACUGUUUUCCAGAGUCACUGUACCAUUUUGCAUUCUCACCAGCAAUGAGUGAGAGUUCCAGCUGCCCACUCCCUCACAGUAAUUAGUAUUGUCAGCUUUUCUGAUUUUAGCUAUUCUGAUAGAUAUGUAGUGGAAUCUCAUUGUGGUUAUAAUUAACAUUUCCUUAAUGGCUAAUUACACUGAACAUCUUUUCGUCUACUUAUAUUUCAUCCUUAUAUCUUCUUUGGUGAAGAUAUUUCUGUUCAAAUAUUUUGCUCAUUUAUUAAAAAUUGUGUUGUUUGACUUCUUAUGGCUGUGUUUCAAGAGUUCUUUCUAUAGUAUUCUGGAUGUAAAUCCUUUGUCAGAUAUGUGAUUUGCAAAUGUUUCCUCCUAGGGUAUGGCUUGUCUCUUCAUUCUCUUAAGAAUAUCUUUGGCAUAGCAAAUAUUUUAAAUUUUGACAAAGUCUAAUUUAUUAAUUUUUUCUUUUAUGAGUCAUGCUUUU